RNAcentral lists this ribosomal RNA (253 nucleotides) under uncultured bacterium. RNAcentral describes it as "partial 16S ribosomal RNA". It matches the Rfam family "Bacterial small subunit ribosomal RNA", at positions 524 to 776 of the family's 1533-position model. The record is from RNAcentral.
UACGGGGGGGGCAAGCGUUGUUCGGAAUUACUGGGCGUAAAGGGCUUGUAGGUGGCCAACUAAGUCAGACGUGAAAUCCCUCGGCUUAACCGGGGAACUGCGUCUGAUACUGGAUGGCUUGAGUGUGGGAGAGGGAUGCGGAAUUCCAGGUGUAGCGGUGAAAUGCGUAGAUAUCUGGAGGAACACCGGUGGCGAAGGCGGCAUCCUGGACCACGACUGACACUGAAAAGCGAAAGCCAGGGGAGCAAACGGG